UGUGACGUCGGUGUUUCACGGCGUUCCGGUAUCGUUCAUAAUAUCGGUUCUAAAGUGUGUUGACAUUGCGGAGACUCGUGUUUUGUUUUUCCUCUCUCCGCAAAUCGCGUGAUGGCGUGACACAAUCGGUCCGAGUUCACCGGCAACAGACCACUGUUUCAGACAUAAUCACGGCGGUCCAACAAUCGCCGAACGUUCGUUAUUCAUAACGCGG
Molecule: non-coding RNA, 214 nt
Organism: Cinara cedri
Lineage: Eukaryota; Metazoa; Arthropoda; Insecta; Hemiptera; Aphididae
Source: the annotation of a GenBank genome assembly